AAUGGACGAAAGUCUGACCGAGCGAUGCCGCGUACGGGAUGAAGGCCCUCGGGUUGUAAACCGCUGUCAGUUGUUAGGAAUGCAUGGUGGUUAUCCAUCAUGUUUGACCGAUCUUCAGAGGAAGGACGGGCUAAGUACGUGCCAGCAGCCGCGGUAACACGUACCGUCCAAACGUUAUUCGGUAUCACUGGGCUUAAAGCGUUCGUAGGCGGCCUAGAAGGUGAGAUGUGAAAGCCCACGGCCCAACCGUGGAAUUGCGUUUCAAACCACUAGGCUUGAGGAAGACAGGGGUGAUGGGAACUUAUGGUGGAGCGGUGAAAUGCGUUGAUAUCAUAGGGAACACCGGUGGCGAAAGCGCAUCACUGGGUCUUUUCUGACGCUGAGGAACGAAAGCUAGGGUAGCGAACGGGAUU
RNAcentral lists this ribosomal RNA (413 nucleotides) under uncultured Gammaproteobacteria bacterium. RNAcentral describes it as "bacterial SSU rRNA". It matches the Rfam family "Bacterial small subunit ribosomal RNA", at positions 370 to 779 of the family's 1533-position model. Lineage: Bacteria; Pseudomonadati; Pseudomonadota; Gammaproteobacteria. The record is from RNAcentral.